Molecule: ribosomal RNA, 492 nt
Filed under: Triticum aestivum (bread wheat)
Lineage: Eukaryota; Viridiplantae; Streptophyta; Magnoliopsida; Poales; Poaceae
Description: partial small subunit ribosomal RNA
Source: RNAcentral
AUGGAUUGGGAGGUGUUGUUCCUCUCCUACAUGCUAAUGGCGGCCUCGACCUCAUGUUCUCAUCAUUGCCCGCUGAUGCUGGCAAGCGUUGCAACUCCUGACAAACACGCUCACUUUUGUUUUGGGAGUUUCUGGAUGAAGUACCUGCGGUUUCAGGAAGCAGUCAAGAAGUCUUGGGACAGUCCGGUGAACCAUGAUUGCCCGAUCGUCCAUAUGAAGGAGAAGAAGACCCUGACAUUGGCAAAGUUUCAGUUGCGCAAGCAGCUCAAACUCCUUGUCCCGGGGUUGGCUGAGAUCGAGCACACAAGGAGGAGGCAGACCUCGAGGGUGCUAUGGUUAAAGGUGGGGGACGCUAGCACACGUUGUUUCCAUGCAAAGGUCUGCUCGCGCCAACAAUGGAACUUCAUCCACUCCAUCGCAACCCCGGACCCCAUGGCGACUGCACAUGAAGACAAGGCCAAGGUUGUCCAUGACCAUUUGUCUCUAUGUUAG